CGGAAUUAUUGGGCGUAAGCGCGCGCAGGUGGUUUCUUAAGUCUGAUGUGAAAGCCCACGGCCCUUCCGUGGAGGGUCAUUGGAAACUGGGAGACUUGAGUGCCCAAGAGGAAAGUGGAAUUCCAUGUGUAGCGGUGAAAUGCGUAGAGAUAUGGAGGAACACCAGUGGCGAAGGCGACUUUCUGGUCUGCAACUGACACUGAGGCGCGAAAGCGUGGGGAGCAAACAGGAUUAGAUACCCUGGUAGUCCACGCCGUAAACGAUGAGUGCUAAGUGUUAGAGGCCUUUCCGCCCUUUAGUGCUGAAGUUAACGCAUUACGCACUCCGCCUGGGGAGUACGGCCGCAAGGCUGAAACUCAAAGGAAUUGACGCGGGCC
RNAcentral lists this ribosomal RNA (377 nucleotides) under Bacillus cereus. RNAcentral's name for it is "bacterial SSU rRNA". It matches the Rfam family "Bacterial small subunit ribosomal RNA", at positions 546 to 921 of the family's 1533-position model. The record is from RNAcentral. Lineage: Bacteria; Bacillati; Bacillota; Bacilli; Caryophanales; Bacillaceae.